UGGGGAGUCGUCUAGUGGUAGGACAGCAGAUUCUGGCUCUGCGAGCCGGGGUUCGAAUCCCUGCUCCCCAG
Molecule: transfer RNA, 71 nt
Filed under: Anaerolineaceae bacterium
Lineage: Bacteria; Bacillati; Chloroflexota; Anaerolineae; Anaerolineales; Anaerolineaceae
Also listed under: 2 other names
Description: tRNA-Gln
Rfam family: tRNA
About the family: Transfer RNA (tRNA) molecules are approximately 80 nucleotides in length. Their secondary structure includes four short double-helical elements and three loops (D, anti-codon, and T loops).
Source: RNAcentral